Long non-coding RNA from Prinia subflava (tawny-flanked prinia), 2800 nucleotides. RefSeq lists it as uncharacterized. The transcript is spliced from 3 exons. Lineage: Eukaryota; Metazoa; Chordata; Aves; Passeriformes; Cisticolidae. The record is from RefSeq and is a predicted model, not a curated record.
GUGUCACAGAGCUGCUGCCAACCUGGUCAUAGGUCCCCAAAUGUACCUCCCUUGAAGGGGAAGGAAGGUGAAUCAUAUCCAGGCACGAUCCCGGCUCAGUCAAUACAUGCACACAAACUUUGCAAAGCCAACAUUUCGGCACCAACACCAGCUGGACACGCGUGUGCCACCAGCCCUGCUCCAGGACUGCUCUGCAGCCUCCCUGAGCCACUCAGCAGCAGCAUCCAGACCUUCAGGUUCAUCACUGGACCCCCACCGUGGAGCUGGUGGAGUGAGGGAUAGCUGCACACACCAGGAGGGGUGAGACACGAGCACGCCGAGGGCUGUCACACGCCUCCUCCCACAGCAGCCGGCGCACGCCCGUCACCCCGGUCCCAGCCAAGGAGGGUGGAAAGAUGGAUGCUUCGAGACGUUUUGGGAUGCAGGUGUGUGGGGUGGGGCAGUGCCCCGCUCCUCACACCCCACCCUGCUGGAGCCUGUGUCCCAGCCCUGCAGCAGUGCCAGUCACGGGCACAGCAGAGGCGAUGCUCCACUCCUGGAGCCCCUGACCCAGCUCCUGAGUGGCAAAGGGACCAGAAGUCCCACCUGGGAGAAGGACUCAUGCAGGCUCAUGCAGGCUCAUUUAAGGCUGAACACGAGGCCAUCAUGUAGGUCUAGACCCUGCCUCUCCUCCAUCAUCGCUGGAACCCAGGAACUGGCAGUAAUGCAGAAAAGUUUCUUCAAAGUUGGUCUGGACAAUGUUCUGUUAAAACUCCCACACAAGGGGCACCCACCACUAAUGAAUUAUAAGGAACUGAGUGAGGAGUCAAGUCUGGUUUCCCUGCAUGUAAUUGCAAUUUUCUCUCUUUCACAUCAUAUCACACUUGCUCUACCCCUCAGGGCACUCCUGCCCUUGGAUGAGGUUUUAGUGUGGCUGUUCAAUCUGUUAGAGACCAGGGCAUCUCUCUGAUCACCCUGGAGGGUCAGGGACCCUGGUGGAGGGGUCUGGGACCCGAGCAGGAGGUUUGGAACCUGUGCAGGGGGGUUGGAAACCUUGGCACAGAGACCAGGAGGAAUUACAAGUCUCAAGAGUGUGAAAUGAGUAGUAGUUAGUUUAUCACAGGGUGCAAAAGUAGAAUUUGGAGUUUUUUAGAAUGGAGGCUGAAGAGCCAAGAUGGAGGAAUCAGGUUGUGGACCUGUUCUUCUUCCUUCUUGUUCUUGCCCUCCAUCUUCUGCAGUGCUGGGUCACAAGAGACUGGUUUAGAGUGGAGAUUACAUGGUUAGCAUAGGUGAUAAGUAUUGGUAAUUAACUGUAAAUAGAGAAUAGGUUGUGGACAAUGUUGGGUUGAGGAAUGGUACAAAAGGGCUGAGACCGCCUAACCAGGGGGGAGUCUCCACGAGUUCUCUGCUGCAGCAGGAACCUUGGCAGAGCACAGAGAGAACUAUGAGAUAAAAAAGAAUAAACAACCUUGGAAAACCCGAACUGGCUACUCCUGACUCUUCUUCUGCUUCUGGAGCGAGGUGUUUCAGAGGGCAAAGGACACUUUAUCACCAAAUCUCAGGGAUAAGAACCUGAGAAAUCCUGUUUGGAUGGACUUCCAGACAGCCUGGGCAGCUGAAAGCUUGGCUGCACAGAAUUCAGGACAGGACUGUCAGGGUGUGGAGCAGGCCUGGGGAGCAGCUGCUUCUCCAGACGAGGUCUCAGCUGUGUUGUGCAGGUUUCCAGAGCAGCCCACCCCUUCCUGCUCUGCUGGGCUUGGGGGGCUGUGGGAAAUCUGCUCUGCUGGCCCAUUCCAGAGCCCUGUGUCCAGCUUCAUGGUCCAGCCACUCCAGGGCUGCUGGCUCUGAGGAGCCUGCAAGAGCAAUGCCAAAUCAGCAAGAGAAGAUGUAAGCAUGGGAGAUUUGUCAAAGAAAACUUUUUAAAAAUAUCAUAUAUCCCACAGCAGUCCAAAGUAAUAGCUCAGCUGCUAAAAAGGUGGAAUUAAAUAGGUCAGGCUGCAGAGCUGUGCCAAUCUCUGCCAGCUAAAGGAACUAACUUCUCAUCUGUUAGACUGUUUCAUCUUUUGCUGUUCCAAGAAUCCAUCUCUCUGCUAGUAAUGAUGUCAAAUAAAUCUUCACAAAAAUGUAAAAAUGUUUAUGAUUAUACUUACUGACCCGUUCCUUUAUUAAAUGAGGACAAUAGGAUGAUGCCUUGAUAUUUACUAAUGGGUUACUCCCAUCUAACCUUUUCUUGUUCAUCCAGAUCAUCUGUUUUCAUUUCACCAUUCAAUGGCUGCCAAUAAAAUUAAGUCAAUUAAAUUAAAGGUCUAUUAUGUUCUUUCAAAUCAGGCUGAGGUCUUUUUUCUUUCCCCAGUCAAUGCUCUCAGAAGAUUUUUGAUAGGGCAGCUGGGAAAUCUGGAGCAGAUUCUCCUCUGCUGGAAAUUGGUUUAGCUUUUCAGAAAUCAAUAGAGAGGCAUCAGCUUACCCUCAGGCAUCAGCUGAGGGCCUGAGCCCUGAUGUGUAGGAAUAAGCCCCAAGCCUGUCUUUGGGCCAAGAUUUAGGUCUGGAAUCACUCCCUCAUGCAAUCUCAAAGACCUUGUCUUCUUAUCAAAAUGUUAGAAGUUACUUAUAACAUAUAUGGUGCAUUUACACCAUCAUGUCUUACCCAUGGAAGUACCCCUAGCCCAGUAUAAAAAUGACCUUCUACAUUUAACUUUAAAUGUGAGCUAUUGCCAAGAGGCAUAAGUGAAAUUGAUAAAAGACUCUAAUGCUGUAUCAUAGAAUCUGCAUGAAGCUGUCUGUUUUGGUGUUCUGAUAUUAAAACAGUUUAUUGUAAUUUUUU